UUUGGGAGCAGGAUGUGGAUUCUAAGGCUGCUUACUGCCUGCCCAAGUGACCAGACACAGGUAGAAGUUUCCAGAAUAGUACCCUAGAAGGAGCGCUUUGGUUUUCUCUUCUUACUUGGUAAGGGUCCCCUCCCACCUACCUAUCCCCAGUGUCCUGUCUAUAGAACAAGGACAGGGGUGCUUUGUCCCCUUGAGAGCCUUGGCUUGGUCUGGACUGCCUGCCGGUGUAGUACCUUUCUGUGUACCCACCUGCCAUUCCCACUUGCCAUGGCUGGCUCCUGGCUGGCUUCUAGCUGCUGUGAAUGCAGGGUGGGUAUUUAGGCAGAGGUCUCAUCUGAGCCUGUGGCAGCCUCCCUCCUUACAAAGCAUGCUCACAGAGGAGUCAUCCUGGUUCCAUCCCGUGCUCUGCACUCUGUCAUAUGCAUGACCUUGUCUUUGUCCAUUAGAGGACUAAAGGGUCUGCAAAGCUGGGUCUUCUUUCUUACUCUCCCAGGCCAGGUUAGUGGCAAGUCUAGAGCUGUAGGCUCAGCCUACGAGGGGUUGGUGGUAGGGAGGUGAGCACUCUGUCCUUCACUGUUUUCAUCUUGCUGGAGCCACUAUGACCCUAGAAAUGGGUGUGACCUGAGUAAUGGUCAUAGGCCAGUGGGUGGCAGGAAAGGUCAGUCACUCUCUGUCCCCUCCCAGCUUGGUGGGCCACAGGACUGUGUGGGGCUUGUGAGGUGUAUUCCCUACUUAAGGAGCAACCCACUCAUUGACUCCCCUGUGCAGGAGAGGUGUCCAUUUCGGUAAUCGUCUUUCACCCCUGCAUGGUUCUUCUCUUGAGUAUCAGCCCUCCUUGGCCUCAUAGGACCUUGAUCUCCUCCUGCGGGCCAGCUAGUGACUGGGAUGCCUAUUCUGUACUGUCCUUCAGUGGGUCCCUCCCUGGGAUCUGUGGUGGAAGUCUGGGGUCACAGUGGUGGUAAGGAUGACCGUGUUCCCUCCUCGUUCCUGGGCUGUGCUAGGGACCAAGUGCAGAUUUUGCUGUGACAGGUCCAAUUUCAGCAGCUGCUCCCACCCCCAGCCUUUGCCCUAAGCAUCCAGGGAUAGCAUCUUCAGGUAGCACUGAUCAGAAGACCCCCUCCCUGUACAACCCCGAGGCUUGGAGCCCUGAAGACCACUUGGGUUGGUGAAUGCCCAAUGGGCCUACUCAUAAAAACCUGGGGCUCCCACUCUUAUUUUUAGGGUUUUUAGAUCCUCACCUGUGGCCAUCAAACUGGCAUAAGGG
Molecule: long non-coding RNA, 1264 nt
Filed under: Mus musculus (house mouse)
Lineage: Eukaryota; Metazoa; Chordata; Mammalia; Rodentia; Muridae
Description: long non-coding RNA chr2:27708587-27709851
Source: RNAcentral